Long non-coding RNA from Ceratina calcarata, 261 nucleotides. RefSeq lists it as uncharacterized. The transcript is spliced from 3 exons. NCBI's taxonomy places the organism in Eukaryota, Metazoa, Arthropoda, Insecta, Hymenoptera, Apidae. The record is from RefSeq and is a predicted model, not a curated record.
CCGGAAUGGAGGAAGAAUAAUGAAUCAAUACUUAUGCAUAUGCAGAGGAUCCGGUGUCGGGAAAGAGGAAUAAUGAAUGAACACCUGAGUAUAUGCGGAGGAUCCAGCAUAGGAAGGAGGAACAAUGAAUCAUCACGCGCGCGAUGCCUGAGUUGGUCGAAGUUAAUGUACUACCGAAGGCGGAGGGGCUGAUUCGCGAUUGAUUAAAUUGUGUUUUGGUGUUUAUAAGAGGACUGAUUAAACUUUUAUAUUUUCACAAAG